Molecule: ribosomal RNA, 796 nt
Filed under: uncultured bacterium
Lineage: Bacteria
Description: bacterial SSU rRNA
Rfam family: Bacterial small subunit ribosomal RNA
Source: RNAcentral
AGCGAACGCUGGCGGCAGGCCUAAUACAUGCAAGUCGAACGNCGGAGCAGUGGCGGACGGGUGAGUAACGCGUGGGAACGUGCCCUUUGGUUCGGAACAACACAGGGAAACUUGUGCUAAUACCGAAUGUGCCCUUCGGGGGAAAGAUUUAUCGCCAUUGGAGCGGCCCGCGUUGGAUUAGCUAGUUGGUGGGGUAAAGGCCCACCAAGGCUACGAUCCAUAGCUGGUCUGAGAGGAUGAUCAGCCACACUGGGACUGAGACACGGCCCAGGCUCCUACGGGAGGCAGCAGUAGGGAAUCUUGCGCAAUGGGCGAAAGCCUGACGCAGCCAUGCCGCGUGAAUGAUGAAGGUCUUAGGAUUGUAAAAUUCUUUCACCGGGGAAGAUAAUGACGGUACCCGGAGAAGAAGCCCCGGCUAACUUCGUGCCAGCAGCCGCGGUAAUACGAAGGGGGCUAGCGUUGCUCGGAAUUACUGGGCGUAAAGGGCGCGUAGGCGGACAUUUAAGUCAGAGGUGAAAGCCCAGGGCUCAACCUUGGAAUUGCCUUUGAUACUGGAUGUCUUGAGUUCGGGAGAGGUGAGUGGAAUGCCGAGUGUAGAGGUGAAAUUCGUAGAUAUUCGGCGGAACACCAGUGGCGAAGGCGACUCACUGGCCCGAUACUGACGCUGAGGCGCGAAAGCGUGGGGAGCAAACAGGAUUAGAUACCCUGGUAGUCCACGCCGUAAACGAUGAGUGCUAGUUGUCGGCAUGCAUGCAUGUCGGUGACGCAGCUAACGCACUAAGCACUCCGCCUGGGA